ACCCGCUGAACUUAAGCAUAUCAAUAAGCGGAGGAAAAGAAACCAACAGGGAUUGCCUUAGUAACGGCGAGUGAAGCGGCAACAGCUCAAAUUUGAAAUCUGGCCUUUGGCCCGAGUUGUAAUUUGCAGAGGAUGUUUCUGGCGAGGUGCCUUCCGAGUUCCCUGGAACGGGACGCCAUAGAGGGUGAGGGCCCCGUACGGUUGGUCGCUAAGCCUAUGUGAAACUCCUUCGACGAGUCGAGUAGUUUGGGAAUGCUGCUCUAAAUGGGAGGUACACGUCUUCUAAAGCUAAAUACCGGCUAGAGACCGAUAGCGCACAAGUAGAGUGAUCGAAAGAUGAAAAGCACUUUGAAAAGAGGGUUAAAAAGUACGUGAAAUUGUUGAAAGGGAAGCGCUCAUGACCAGACUUGGGCCGGUUGAUCAUCCAUCGUUCUCGGUGGUGCACUCUGCCGGCUCAGGCCAGCAUCAGUUUGGCUCGGGGGAUAAAGACUUCGGGAAUGUGGCUCUCUUCGGGGAGUGUUAUAGCCCGUUGUGUAAUACCCUGGGCCUGGACUGAGGUACGCGCUCCGCAAGGAUGCUGGCGUAAUGGUUAU
Molecule: ribosomal RNA, 593 nt
Filed under: uncultured fungus
Lineage: Eukaryota; Fungi
Description: eukaryotic LSU rRNA
Rfam family: Eukaryotic large subunit ribosomal RNA
Source: RNAcentral